Molecule: ribosomal RNA, 433 nt
Filed under: uncultured bacterium
Lineage: Bacteria
Description: bacterial SSU rRNA
Rfam family: Bacterial small subunit ribosomal RNA
Source: RNAcentral
AACGAACGCUGGCGGCGGGCCUAACACAUGCAAGUCGAGCGAACCCUUCGGGGUUAGCGGCGGACGGGUUAGUAACGCGUGGGAAUAUACCCUUUGGUACGGAAUAGCCUCGGGAAACUGAGAGUAAUACCGUAUGUGCCCUUCGGGGGAAAGAUUUAUCGCCAAAGGAUUAGCCCGCGUUGGAUUAGGUAGUUGGUGGGGUAAUGGCCUACCAAGCCUACGAUCCAUAGCUGGUUUGAGAGGAUGAUCAGCAACACUGGGACUGAGACACGGCCCAGACUCCUACGGGAGGCAGCAGUGGGGAAUCUUAGACAAUGGGCGCAAGCCUGAUCUAGCCAUGCCGCGUGGACGAUGAAGGCCUUAGGGUUGUAAAGUCCUUUCAGAUGGGAAGAUAAUGACGGUACCAUCAGAAGAAGCCCCGGCUAACUCCGUG